GGAGGGGGCGAGCGUUAUUCGGAAUUAUUGGGCGUAAAGGGCAGGUAGGCGGCUUUGUGUGUCCUCUGUGAAAGCCCUCGGCUCAACCGAGGAAUUGCAGGGGAAACUGCAGAGCUUGAGUCCGGGAGAGGCUAGUGGAAUUCCCAGUGUAGCGGUGAAAUGCGUAGAUAUUGGGAGGAACACCAGUGGCGAAGGCGGCUAGCUGGACCGGUACUGACGCUGAUCUGCGAAAGCUAAGGGAGCAAACGGGGGAUUAGAUACCCCGGUAGUCCUGGCUGUAAACGCUGAGCACUUGGUGUGGCGGGUAUCGACCCCUGCCGUGCCGGAGCUAACGCAUUAAGUGCUCCGCCUGGGAGUACGGUCGCAAGGCUG
RNAcentral lists this ribosomal RNA (372 nucleotides) under uncultured organism. RNAcentral describes it as "partial 16S ribosomal RNA". It matches the Rfam family "Bacterial small subunit ribosomal RNA", at positions 527 to 896 of the family's 1533-position model. The record is from RNAcentral.